Long non-coding RNA from Gadus morhua (Atlantic cod), 131 nucleotides. RefSeq lists it as uncharacterized. NCBI's taxonomy places the organism in Eukaryota, Metazoa, Chordata, Actinopteri, Gadiformes, Gadidae. The transcript is spliced from 2 exons. The record is from RefSeq and is a predicted model, not a curated record.
UGAACAUCCGCACACACGUCAUUAUUGCACAUGGCCCUGAUUCAUACGUUAUUUCAAAAGCCCAACCUCUGAACAUGUACUACACGUGUGUGUGUGUGUGUGUGUGUGUGUGUGUGUGUGUGUGUGUGUGU